GACGAACGCUGGCGGCGCGCUUAAAACAUGCAAGUCGAACGAGAAGCUCGGAGCUUGCUCCGGGUGGAAAGUGGCGAACGGGUGAGGAGCACGUGAGGAACCUGCCCCGAAGACCGGGACAACACCGGGAAACCGGUGCUAAUACCGGAUGCCCUCACCGGACCGCAUGAUCCGGUGAGGAAAUGGAUUCCGCUUCGGGAUGGCCUCGCGGACUAUCAGCUUGUUGGUGAGGAAUGGCUCACCAAGGCUACGACGGUUAGCUGGUCUGAGAGGAUGUCCAGCCACACUGGGACUGAGACACGGCCCAGACUCCUACGGGAGGCAGCAGUUAGGAAUCUUGCGCAAUGAGCGAAAGCUUGACGCAGCGACGCCGCGUGCGGGAUGAAGGCCC
RNAcentral lists this ribosomal RNA (391 nucleotides) under uncultured bacterium. RNAcentral's name for it is "bacterial SSU rRNA". It matches the Rfam family "Bacterial small subunit ribosomal RNA", at positions 28 to 417 of the family's 1533-position model. The record is from RNAcentral.